GUCUGACUAGCACAGUGGGUAAGGAACUGGACUUGUAACCGAAAGGUUGCAGGUUCGAUUCCUGGGUAGGAAA
Molecule: transfer RNA, 73 nt
Filed under: Anguilla anguilla (European eel)
Lineage: Eukaryota; Metazoa; Chordata; Actinopteri; Anguilliformes; Anguillidae
Description: tRNA-OTHER
Source: RNAcentral